This 2911-nucleotide ribosomal RNA is filed under the name Escherichia coli. Its description in RNAcentral is "bacterial LSU rRNA". It matches the Rfam family "Bacterial large subunit ribosomal RNA". Lineage: Bacteria; Pseudomonadati; Pseudomonadota; Gammaproteobacteria; Enterobacterales; Enterobacteriaceae. The record is from RNAcentral.
UAAGCGUACACGGUGGAUGCCCUGGCAGUCAGAGGCGAUGAAGGACGUGCUAAUCUGCGAUAAGCGUCGGUAAGGUGAUAUGAACCGUUAUAACCGGCGAUUUCCGAAUGGGGAAACCCAGUGUGAUUCGUCACACUAUCAUUAACUGAAUCCAUAGGUUAAUGAGGCGAACCGGGGGAACUGAAACAUCUAAGUACCCCGAGGAAAAGAAAUCAACCGAGAUUCCCCCAGUAGCGGCGAGCGAACGGGGAGCAGCCCAGAGCCUGAAUCAGUAUGUGUGUUAGUGGAAGCGUCUGGAAAGGCGCGCGAUACAGGGUGACAGCCCCGUACACAAAAAUGCACAUGCUGUGAGCUCGAUGAGUAGGGCGGGACACGUGGUAUCCUGUCUGAAUAUGGGGGGACCAUCCUCCAAGGCUAAAUACUCCUGACUGACCGAUAGUGAACCAGUACCGUGAGGGAAAGGCGAAAAGAACCCCGGCGAGGGGAGUGAAAAAGAACCUGAAACCGUGUACGUACAAGCAGUGGGAGCACGCUUAGGCGUGUGACUGCGUACCUUUUGUAUAAUGGGUCAGCGACUUAUAUUCUGUAGCAAGGUUAACCGAAUAGGGGAGCCGAAGGGAAACCGAGUCUUAACUGGGCGUUAAGUUGCAGGGUAUAGACCCGAAACCCGGUGAUCUAGCCAUGGGCAGGUUGAAGGUUGGGUAACACUAACUGGAGGACCGAACCGACUAAUGUUGAAAAAUUAGCGGAUGACUUGUGGCUGGGGGUGAAAGGCCAAUCAAACCGGGAGAUAGCUGGUUCUCCCCGAAAGCUAUUUAGGUAGCGCCUCGUGAAUUCAUCUCCGGGGGUAGAGCACUGUUUCGGCAAGGGGGUCAUCCCGACUUACCAACCCGAUGCAAACUGCGAAUACCGGAGAAUGUUAUCACGGGAGACACACGGCGGGUGCUAACGUCCGUCGUGAAGAGGGAAACAACCCAGACCGCCAGCUAAGGUCCCAAAGUCAUGGUUAAGUGGGAAACGAUGUGGGAAGGCCCAGACAGCCAGGAUGUUGGCUUAGAAGCAGCCAUCAUUUAAAGAAAGCGUAAUAGCUCACUGGUCGAGUCGGCCUGCGCGGAAGAUGUAACGGGGCUAAACCAUGCACCGAAGCUGCGGCAGCGACGCUGAUGCGUUGUUGGGUAGGGGAGCGUUCUGUAAGCCUGUGAAGGUGUGCUGUGAGGCAUGCUGGAGGUAUCAGAAGUGCGAAUGCUGACAUAAGUAACGAUAAAGCGGGUGAAAAGCCCGCUCGCCGGAAGACCAAGGGUUCCUGUCCAACGUUAAUCGGGGCAGGGUGAGUCGACCCCUAAGGCGAGGCCGAAAGGCGUAGUCGAUGGGAAACAGGUUAAUAUUCCUGUACUUGGUGUUACUGCGAAGGGGGGACGGAGAAGGCUAUGUUGGCCGGGCGACGGUUGUCCCGGUUUAAGCGUGUAGGCUGGUUUUCCAGGCAAAUCCGGAAAACUAAGGCUGAGGCGUGAUGACGAGGCACUACGGUGCUGAAGCAACAAAUGCCCUGCUUCCAGGAAAAGCCUCUAAGCAUCAGGUAACAUCAAAUCGUACCCCAAACCGACACAGGUGGUCAGGUAGAGAAUACCAAGGCGCUUGAGAGAACUCGGGUGAAGGAACUAGGCAAAAUGGUGCCGUAACUUCGGGAGAAGGCACGCUGAUAUGUAGGUGAAGUCCCUCGCGGAUGGAGCUGAAAUCAGUCGAAGAUACCAGCUGGCUGCAACUGUUUAUUAAAAACACAGCACUGUGCAAACACGAAAGUGGACGUAUACGGUGUGACGCCUGCCCGGUGCCGGAAGGUUAAUUGAUGGGGUCAGCGCAAGCGAAGCUCUUGAUCGAAGCCCCGGUAAACGGCGGCCGUAACUAUAACGGUCCUAAGGUAGCGAAAUUCCUUGUCGGGUAAGUUCCGACCUGCACGAAUGGCGUAAUGAUGGCCAGGCUGUCUCCACCCGAGACUCAGUGAAAUUGAACUCGCUGUGAAGAUGCAGUGUACCCGCGGCAAGACGGAAAGACCCCGUGAACCUUUACUAUAGCUUGACACUGAACAUUGAGCCUUGAUGUGUAGGAUAGGUGGGAGGCUUUGAAGUGUGGACGCCAGUCUGCAUGGAGCCGACCUUGAAAUACCACCCUUUAAUGUUUGAUGUUCUAACGUUGACCCGUAAUCCGGGUUGCGGACAGUGUCUGGUGGGUAGUUUGACUGGGGCGGUCUCCUCCUAAAGAGUAACGGAGGAGCACGAAGGUUGGCUAAUCCUGGUCGGACAUCAGGAGGUUAGUGCAAUGGCAUAAGCCAGCUUGACUGCGAGCGUGACGGCGCGAGCAGGUGCGAAAGCAGGUCAUAGUGAUCCGGUGGUUCUGAAUGGAAGGGCCAUCGCUCAACGGAUAAAAGGUACUCCGGGGAUAACAGGCUGAUACCGCCCAAGAGUUCAUAUCGACGGCGGUGUUUGGCACCUCGAUGUCGGCUCAUCACAUCCUGGGGCUGAAGUAGGUCCCAAGGGUAUGGCUGUUCGCCAUUUAAAGUGGUACGCGAGCUGGGUUUAGAACGUCGUGAGACAGUUCGGUCCCUAUCUGCCGUGGGCGCUGGAGAACUGAGGGGGGCUGCUCCUAGUACGAGAGGACCGGAGUGGACGCAUCACUGGUGUUCGGGUUGUCAUGCCAAUGGCACUGCCCGGUAGCUAAAUGCGGAAGAGAUAAGUGCUGAAAGCAUCUAAGCACGAAACUUGCCCCGAGAUGAGUUCUCCCUGACUCCUUGAGAGUCCUGAAGGAACGUUGAAGACGACGACGUUGAUAGGCCGGAUGUGUAAGCGCAGCGAUGCGUUGAGCUAACCGGUACUAAUGAACCGUGAGGCUUAACCUUACAACGCCGAAGGUGUUU